Molecule: small nucleolar RNA, 130 nt
Organism: Grammomys surdaster
Lineage: Eukaryota; Metazoa; Chordata; Mammalia; Rodentia; Muridae
Product: small nucleolar RNA SNORA17
Exons: 1
Source: RefSeq, a predicted model, not a curated record
CCUGCCACGAGAGGCAUCGCAGGCGUGACUAAUGUGUCACAUUUGUCAGUAGGUGGCAGAGAGGAGAAAGCCUAUAUUUAUAUUCAGUGAUCUGACUUAUGAACAUCUGAAUGAUUAGUACACUAACAUU